This 463-nucleotide ribosomal RNA is filed under the name uncultured Longilinea sp. RNAcentral's name for it is "bacterial SSU rRNA". It matches the Rfam family "Bacterial small subunit ribosomal RNA", at positions 920 to 1378 of the family's 1533-position model. The record is from RNAcentral. Lineage: Bacteria; Bacillati; Chloroflexota; Anaerolineae; Anaerolineales; Anaerolineaceae.
CCCCGCACAAGCAGCGGAGCGUGUGGUUUAAUUCGAUGCUACACGAAGAACCUUACCAGGGUUUGACAUACAAGUAGUAGGGAAAGGAAACUGGACCGACCCUUCGGGGAGCUUGUACAGGUGCUGCAUGGCUGUCGUCAGCUCGUGUCGUGAGAUGUUCGGUUAAGUCCCGCAACGAGCGCAACCCUUGCCAUUAAUUGCCAUCAUUCAGUUGGGCACUUUAAUGGGACUGCCGGUGACAAACCGGAGGAAGGUGGGGAUGACGUCAAGUCCUCAUGGCCCUUAUGGCCAGGGCUUCACACGUAAUACAAUGGUCGGUACAAAGGGUUGCCAAGCCGCGAGGUGGAGCUAAUCCCAUAAAACCGAUCGUAGUCCGGAUCGCAGUCUGCAACUCGACUGCGUGAAGUCGGAAUCGCUAGUAAUCGUGAAUCAGAAUGUCACGGUGAAUACGUUCCCGGGCCUU